AGUGAACGCUGGCGGUAGGCCUAACACAUGCGAGUCGAACGGCAGCACAGUAAGAGCUUGCUCUUACGGGUGGCGAGUGGCGGACGGGUGAGGAAUACAUCGGAAUCUACUUUUUCGUGGGGGAUAACGUAGGGAAACUUACGCUAAUACCGCAUACUACCUACGGUUGAAAGCAGGGGAUCUUCGGACCUUGCGCGAUUGAAUGAGCCGAUGUCGGAUUAGCUAGUUGGCGGGGUAAAGGCCCACCAAGGCGACGAUCCGUAGCUGGUCUGAGAGGAUGAUCAGCCACACUGGAACUGAGACACGGUCCAGACUCCUACGGGAGGCAGCAGUGGGGAAUAUUGGACAAUGGGCGCAAGCCUGAUCCAGCCAUACCGCGUGGGUGAAGAAGGCCUUCGGGUUGUAAAGCCCUUUUGUUGGGAAAGAAAAGCAGCAGGUUAAUACCCCGCUGUUCUGACGGUACCCAAAGAAUAAGCACCGGCUAACUUCGUG
RNAcentral lists this ribosomal RNA (492 nucleotides) under uncultured bacterium. RNAcentral's name for it is "partial 16S ribosomal RNA". It matches the Rfam family "Bacterial small subunit ribosomal RNA", at positions 29 to 507 of the family's 1533-position model. The record is from RNAcentral.